RNAcentral lists this ribosomal RNA (253 nucleotides) under uncultured prokaryote. Its description in RNAcentral is "partial 16S ribosomal RNA". It matches the Rfam family "Bacterial small subunit ribosomal RNA", at positions 524 to 776 of the family's 1533-position model. The record is from RNAcentral.
UACAGAGGGUGCGAGCGUUAAUCGGAAUUACUGGGCGUAAAGGGCGCGUAGGCGGUUGUGUGAGUGUGAUGUGAAAGCCCUGGGCUUAACCUGGGAAGUGCAUCGCAAACGACAUAACUGGAGUAUAAGAGAGGGUGGCGGAAUUCCCGGUGUAGAGGUGAAAUUCGUAGAUAUCGGGAGGAACACCAGUGGCGAAGGCGGCGACCUGGACGGACACUGACGCUGAGGCACGAAAGCGUGGGUAGCAAACAGG